AGGCUUUUGUGUGGUUCGUUGCUCUAGAUAGGUUUCAUACCAAUAGAUUGUUACAGUAUGGUUGACCAAAUAACCUUCGUCCGGGAUAUUUGCAUUUAAUGCAAGCAGGCUCAUGAAAUUCAGUCUAACUCUAACUCUCUACGAUGGCAGGAUUUUGCUUGUGGUCAUUCAGGUUAUGUGGUUGAAGAGGAAUGCUAAAGUUCAAAGCGUCACUUCAAUCUAAGCAUCAAAUGUUAGUGCUUUAAAAGCAUCGCAAUCUCUAAGAUUCAGAUGAACCAAAAGGUUGUCCUUAAUUGAUGUUUGUUUCCCUCUUUCCUAGAUAGGACUAUUAUUUCUCUUCUAAUUUCUUUGUUUCCAUAUAUAAAUUCCUUUCAUCAAAUAAAAAGCAGGAGUGAUCAACCUCAGUCAUUAUGACCCAUAUGAAUUUGUGUAGGGUUGUUGAAAAUCCAUAUGACCCAAAACCAAAUUAGGAAUACCCAAAUUGUUUCUACAGAUAAUGCCGCUAGUUCAUAUAUGAAUACUUACAAAUAAAAAAACAUAUUUACUAAAUUUCUCAAAUUACCUGUAGUUCUACUAUUUAUUUUACUGCAACAAUGAAGCCGAAAUAGAAACAUGUGAUCUUUAUGUUCUGCUCACAGUUCUAGCAACCACGAGGAAUUAGGGAUCCAGUAACAGCUCAAUAGUAGUAUUGAAUUAAGUAGAUUUUGAACAAUACCUGGUCAGCUAUUCCAAAUUAGAACAGUUCGAUGAAUAACGAACUCUUUCAGUCGAUGAAGAGACACUGGCGAAAUCUCUCUCUAUAUUUCGCUCGAUGAACAAAGGAAGGAAACUGGAUAAGAAAAGAUAGUUUGGGUCAGGUCAGUUCGGCCCCUAACUAGAACGACUUGCAUUUUCUAUCCCAGGUCUACAAUGGUUCGACCCAAAAAUAUACAUGGGGCAUAAUUGAUCGAGAAUUAUUUUUAUUCAGUCCGCUAGUUGAAAUAGCGGACAACGUGUUUAACAAUUGAAUAUAUAUAUAUAUAUAUAUAUAUAUAUAUAUAUAUAUAUAUAUAUAUAUAUAUAACCUUUCAAAUAAGGCUAUAGUUUUAGUAAUAUAGAAGUGACGUGCCAAAUAAUACAUAAAGCAGGAGGGGUUGACAAAGACAAACCAUCAGAAAUUAGAAUAUUUGUUAAGAAAUGAAAUGUCAACUGUUAAUCAAAAUUGGGAACUUUGCACUUACAUUGCAUCUCUCGUGGAUGCAGCUUCAUCGUCAAGGAGUAGUCCACAUCUUCCCUACAUACUACUAUUCUAUCCCUACUUUACUAUUAUUAUUAUUUUCUCAUUUUCUCUAAAAUCAGGUGACAAAUUUAUCAACAAAAAUACUUUAUACUUUUUUUAAUGUUUUAGGUACUUUUUCAUUACCAAAAAUAACUGGAGUAAUACAUAAAAGCUGUAACAAAACUAAUAAGCAUUUUUUCAAGCAAAUCAUAUUUGUUAAUUUUAAAAUUAAAUACAUAUAUGUUAAUUCUAAAUUUUAAGAUUCAUAAAUUAAUCUAAAAUUUUAAAACGUAUUCUUAAUUUCUCAGAAAUGGAGUACAAUUUUAUGUUAGACUUUUACUGAAAACCUUGUAGACUUGUAGUAGAAGUCUUUCCAUCUUCAUUAGUUGGUCGAGUGUACCCAGCCUCUUCUCCUCUUCUCUAUCUUAGUCUCUUCAUUCUCUCUUCGCUCUGAUCUUCUUCAAUCCAGAAUUAACAAANNNNNNNNNNNNNNNNNNNNNNNNNNNNNNNNNNNNNNNNNNNNNNNNNNNNNNNNNNNNNNNNNNNNNNNNNNNNNNNNNNNNNNNNNNNNNNNNNNNNAAAUUGAGAUAAGAGGGUUGUGUGUACCUGCUGAUGCUUUGUUGCUCCAUGGCAAUUCUACAAUCUGGGAGUUGCCCAAUCACAGAGAGAUUUCGCCCGAUUCUACAAUCUUUGAUUGAAAUUUCUUUUCCGCCAUUGCAGGAGAGUCUAAGUACAAAUUUCACGAUCAAGAACGGGAACAUUUUUGUAUAUGUUCAUAACAUAACAUAGAGAGAGAAAGAAGGAAUUAACAGAAGUGAAAUCAGAAAAUUGAGAAAGAGAGAGAGAGGAGAGAGGAGGAUCAAUUUUGGAGAAAGAGGGAGUGAGAGAGGGGCUCUCGGGAGAAAUAUGGGUUUUUGGAUCUGUUAAUGGUAAAAUUACUUGAUGCAAUUACUAUCAAAACAGAUAAUGAAGUUUAUAGAAUACUAAAAUUAUGUAAAAUGGAGAAGAAAAUAUACUUAUUAUAAU
This 2284-nucleotide long non-coding RNA is filed under the name Panax ginseng (ginseng). Its description in RNAcentral is "long non-coding RNA (PGIN_LNC014779)". The record is from RNAcentral. Lineage: Eukaryota; Viridiplantae; Streptophyta; Magnoliopsida; Apiales; Araliaceae.